AGCUAGAAGAAUAAGAAGAAGAGUAAGAAUGAGAGGGGGAGCUCAAAGAGGAGAUGAAGGAGGAAGAGGAGGAUAAUUAGGAAGAGGCCUAGGUAGAGGAAGAGGAGAAGGAGAAUAAGGAAGAGGCCUAGGUAGAGGAAAAGGAGAAGGAGGUGGAGGAAGAGGUAGAGAAGGACUUGAAGAGUUGAUAGAACCUGAACAAAGAAGACGAGGACCAAAUUUGACUCAAGAAAUCCGUGCAACACUUACUGACCAUGUUAUCAACUAUGGACUGACACUGAUGGAAGCUGGACAAAGUUCAACCAAAUCUCAGUAAAAAUACUGUUGCGUAAGUAAUUCGGACAUUUCAUCGAGAAAACAGGAUUGAGGGUCGAGGACACCAAGGUGGAAGGGGCCCUAUGUUCACUCGUGCACAAUUGUUGAAUCCUCAAGAAAAAUCAAAUAUACAUGAAGCAACUGUAUCGGGUACCAUUUGACUGAAAUUCAGAGAGUGUGAAACAUCGGUGCAAUGAGUAUUUGGAGAGAUUCUUGCAAAUGGAUGCUGCAGAAAUUCUACAUGAAUUUAUAUAUGCGGAUGAGGCUGGAUUUAACCUUGCGAAAACAAGAAGAGGGAGUAAUAUAAUUUGACACAGGGCAAUCACCAAUGUUCCAGGGCAUCGAGGGGGUAACAUCACCCUUUGCACUGCGAUUACACACGAGAUUGUCACAGCAUUAAACCAAGUGGACCAGAUGCAGUACAUUGUUGUUUGGGAAAAUGUCUCAUUCCAUCGGGCUGCUCUGGUCUAGAACUGGUUCCAUGAGCACCCUGAAUUUGAAGUCUUAUACCUUCCCCCGUAUUCCCCCUUCCUAAAUCCAAUAGAAUUUUUUUUUUUCAGCAUGGCAGUGGAAGGUGGACCUGUGGCCCUAUGACCAUUUGCCCUUCGUUCAGGCCAUGGAGCAGGCCUGUGAUCAUAUCGAAGCAGCUUCUGUGCAGGGGUGGAUUCGUCACAUGAGGCGAUUCUUCCAAUGGUGCCUUGCUAAUGAAGACAUAGCCUAUGAUGUGGAUGAAAUCUUAUGGCCUGAUCCAGCCAGACAGAGAUGAUGAAUAGUUACAGUAUUCUUUUUGCUUUUUACAUGGUUUUUCUUCAGAGUCAAAGUGUAUGUACUUCAUGCAGUAAUUUUUAUUUGUCUACAGAUUUUGUUUAAUUGAUUUCAUUGUAACUGAUUAUGGUAAGAAAUACUGUAAGUAUUGUCUGUAACAUCAGUGUUGUGCAGUGUUUGGUAAGUUUAUAGUAGGCUUAUUUGUAUACAUUCUCCCUAUAUCUCAAACUAUUUAUGAAGAAUGUUGUGGGUUUUUCACUUUUUUUUUUUUUUUUCAUCUAAAUUAUCCCUUUACAUAACAAUGGCUGGCCAAAAAUCUAGCACAUGCUAUUUCCUAAAAUUAUUUAUUUAUUUAUUUUUUUUUUACAAAUGUUUAUUUAUCACAGCAGUGUGAAACUGGCUGCAAUUGUGUCUGAUCAUUGAGGACUGUGUUGGUUAAAUGAAAACUAAUAGCAUUUUCACAAAUAUGUGUAUAUGUUUUGACUGACGUGUGUAAUUUUGCAAACAAUCUAGGAAUUAUGCAAAUUGAGUGUGGUGUUUGGAUAAUUGUGAUUAUAUUUUUAAAAAAAG
Cyprinus carpio carpio is the source of this 1650-nucleotide long non-coding RNA. The record is from Ensembl. Lineage: Eukaryota; Metazoa; Chordata; Actinopteri; Cypriniformes; Cyprinidae.